RNAcentral lists this unclassified non-coding RNA (596 nucleotides) under Hevea brasiliensis (rubber tree). Lineage: Eukaryota; Viridiplantae; Streptophyta; Magnoliopsida; Malpighiales; Euphorbiaceae. The record is from RNAcentral.
GUUGGUUGCAUUGUAUUGACAUUCAUAUGCUGCAUACAAGCGUCAGAAUGCAUUACAGAGUUUAGCAUUAUCAAUUAAGUCUGGAUGAAAACACUGAAAAUUGAUUUCAAUUUUCUCUAAAAUGCAGAUUUUUGGAUGCUCUUUAAUCUUCUUAUGUACUGCUAAUCUUGAUGAAUUUGGUAUGAUUAAUCAAUUAUUCAAUGCAGCAAUAGUUAUUUGGGGCAGGAUUGGGGCUCAUGGGGGUGUUUAUUACAAUCAGGUCCAUUCUUAUUUUGAUGAGUUAAGGUGAAGACACAAAAGUAACCAUACAUUGUUUUCUUUAUGCUAUUUUAUCACGUCAAGAAAGUCUUUGAUAAUGUUCUUUCUGGUUCUGUGCCAUUAUGUUUUCUUCUCUGCACAAGUUUGUGUUAUUUUGUGCUGUUUCAAUAAGAUCAAUGGUAUUAGUAAUAUUAUGGAGGGUCUUUAACCAAAGAAUGACUAUUGUUUUCAUGUAGGAUGCAGCAUGGGAGUCUCUACAUGAGCUACACCAUUCUAGAGAGUUGAUCUCCCGUAAGUCUUGUGUUGACCUUUUCUUUCACAAAACUGUAGGAUGGAGA